AACGAACGCUGGCGGCAUGCCUAACACAUGCAAGUCGAACGAGACCUUCGGGUCUAGUGGCGCACGGGUGCGUAACGCGUGGGAACCUGCCCUUAGGUUCGGAAUAACUCCCCGAAAGGGGUGCUAAUACCGGAUAAUGUCUUCGGACCAAAGAUUUAUUGCCUUUGGAUGGGCCCGCGUUGGAUUAGCUAGUUGGUAGGGUAAAAGCCUACCAAGGCGACGAUCCAUAGCUGGUCUGAGAGGAUGAUCAGCCACACUGGGACUGAGACACGGCCCAGACUCCUACGGGAGGCAGCAGUGGGGAAUAUUGGACAAUGGGCGAAAGCCUGAUCCAGCAAUGCCGCGUGAGUGAUGAAGGCCUUAGGGUUGUAAAGCUCUUUUACCCGGGAUGAUAAUGACAGUACCGGGAGAAUAAGCUCCGGCUAACUCCGCG
RNAcentral lists this ribosomal RNA (433 nucleotides) under uncultured bacterium. RNAcentral's name for it is "partial 16S ribosomal RNA". It matches the Rfam family "Bacterial small subunit ribosomal RNA", at positions 29 to 507 of the family's 1533-position model. The record is from RNAcentral.